UACGUAGGGAGCAAGCGUUGUUCGGAUUUACUGGGCGUAAAGGGCGCGUAGGCGGCGCGGUAAGUCACUUGUGAAAUCUCUGAGCUUAACUCAGAACGGCCAAGUGAUACUGCAGUGCUAGAGUGCAGAAAGGGCAAUCGGAAUUCUUGGUGUAGCGGUGGAAUGCGCAGAUAUCAGGAGGAACACCCAUAGCGAAGGCAGCUUGCUGGGACGUUACUGACGCUAAGGCGCGAAAGCGUGGGGAGCGAACAGG
RNAcentral lists this ribosomal RNA (253 nucleotides) under uncultured bacterium. Its description in RNAcentral is "partial 16S ribosomal RNA". It matches the Rfam family "Bacterial small subunit ribosomal RNA", at positions 524 to 776 of the family's 1533-position model. The record is from RNAcentral.